This 212-nucleotide long non-coding RNA is filed under the name Mytilus galloprovincialis (Mediterranean mussel). The record is from RNAcentral. Lineage: Eukaryota; Metazoa; Mollusca; Bivalvia; Mytilida; Mytilidae.
GGUCAGCUGAUUUAUAUAUUGAGAAAGAAUUCCCUCGUGAAAAUUCAUCUGCGUUUUAUUAAAUUUGAUAUGUUGUAUUUUCUAGAAAACCCAUUGCGUUGAGGCGAACGACGGUAAUAUGUGACUCUGCCAUUGUAUGAUUUAUUCCGAUGGUCAAUUAUUUGUUGAAUCUAAACGUUGUAUCUUUUAUUUGUUUAUAGAUAUGUUAUUAG